This is an unclassified non-coding RNA of Erinaceus europaeus (western European hedgehog), 277 nucleotides long. Its record names the gene 7SK. It matches the Rfam family "7SK RNA". Rfam says of the family: 7SK was discovered as an abundant small nuclear RNA in the mid-70s but a possible function has only recently been suggested. Two independent studies have found that 7SK RNA binds the CDK9/cyclin T complex (known as elongation factor P-TEFb). Lineage: Eukaryota; Metazoa; Chordata; Mammalia; Eulipotyphla; Erinaceidae. The record is from Ensembl.
GGAUGUGAGGGCGAUCUGGCUGUGACAUCUGUCACCCCUCUGAUCACCAGGGUUGAUUCGGCUGAUCUGGCUGGCUAGGCGUGUGUCCCCUCAGCACUCCAUGUGCGUCUCUCCCCAAUCUGCAGGAGUCCCACCCGAAUCUACGCACUCCGUCUAAGAGGACGGCCUUCCCUGAAUAGAGACAGACUGGUCUUCCGUCGAGGGUAUACGAGUGGCAGCUGUUAAUUAUCAGGGCUUGUAAGGGUACAGCCACAUUUCAGGGAGCACCGCUCCACUG